Molecule: transfer RNA, 72 nt
Filed under: Ovis aries (sheep)
Lineage: Eukaryota; Metazoa; Chordata; Mammalia; Artiodactyla; Bovidae
Rfam family: tRNA
About the family: Transfer RNA (tRNA) molecules are approximately 80 nucleotides in length. Their secondary structure includes four short double-helical elements and three loops (D, anti-codon, and T loops). Further hydrogen bonds mediate the characteristic L-shaped molecular structure. tRNAs have two regions of fundamental functional importance: the anti-codon, which is responsible for specific mRNA codon recognition, and the 3' end, to which the tRNAs corresponding amino acid is attached (by aminoacyl-tRNA synthetases). tRNAs cope with the degeneracy of the genetic code in two manners: having more than one tRNA (with a specific anti-codon) for a particular amino acid; and 'wobble' base-pairing, i.e. permitting non-standard base-pairing at the 3rd anti-codon position.
Source: Rfam by way of RNAcentral
UCCCUGCUGGCUCAGACGGUAAAGCGUCUGUCUAUAAUGUGGGAGACCUGGGUUCGAGCCCUGGGUUGGGAA